This 329-nucleotide unclassified non-coding RNA is filed under the name Hevea brasiliensis (rubber tree). The record is from RNAcentral. Lineage: Eukaryota; Viridiplantae; Streptophyta; Magnoliopsida; Malpighiales; Euphorbiaceae.
AUGGCCAAAAGUUUCUGGUUUUGCGAAGGUCGAUCUCUUCACCGGAGAAAUCAAAAAGUAUCUCUACGGCGAACAGAGGUACGGCGGUGAGCCUCUGUUUCUGCCUAGAGAAGGGGCUGAGGCAGAGGACGAUGGCCACAUCUUGGCCUUCGUUCACGACGAGAAGGAAUGGAAAUCGGAGCUUCAGAUCGUUAACGCCAUGACUUUGGAGCUUGAAGCUACUGUAAAGCUGCCUUCUCGAGUUCCUUAUGGCUUCCAUGGAACUUUCAUAAGUUCCGAGGAUUUGCAGAAGCAGAUACGGUAAAAAGACGAGGUAAAUUAUAACAACA